ACAAUCAAAAUAACCAAAUUUUCUAAGAAUCUUUUCGAUAUAAUGAGACUGUGUUAAAAAUAAUCCAUUAUUUUCACGAAUAAUUUUAAUUCCCAAAAUAAUAUCAGCCUCCCCCAUAUCUUUCAUAUCAAAAUUGCAAGAUAAAAAAUUUUUAGUAUUUUCUACUUGCUGAACAUCGGUGCCAAAAAUUAACAUGUCAUCAACAUAUAGACAUAUAAUAACACCUUUACCAUUUGAAAAUUUACUAUAAACACAUUUAUCAGAUUGAUUAAUUUUAUAACCAUUGGAAAGAACAAUCUGAUCAAACUUUUGAUGCCAUUGUUUAGGUGCUUGUUUAAGCCCAUACAACGACUUGAUAAGUUUACACACUUUGUGCUCUUGUCCAGGAACAACAAAGCCCUCGGGCUGUUCCAUAUAAACUUCUUCAUCUAAUUCUCCAUUUAAGAAUGCUGUUUUGACAUCCAUUUGAUGAAUAAUCAAAUUAUACAUUGAAGCAAGAGCAAUCAAAGUUCUAAUAGUCGCUAAUCUGGCAACAGGUGCAUAGGUAUCAAAAUAAUCAAUGCCUUCUUUUUGUGUAAACCCUUUGGCAACAAGUCUUGCCUUGAAUUUAUCUAUGGUGCCAUUUACAUUGAUUUUCUUUUUGAAAAUCCAUUUACACCCAAUAGGUUUACAUCCAGGAGGAAGAUCAACUAAUUUCCAUGUUUGGUUUGUCAUAAUUGAGUCCAUUUCAUCAUUUAUCGCUUCUUUCCAAAAAGCGACAUCAGGAGAUUUCAUUGCCUCCUCAAAUGUUGUGGGGUCUGAGUCAAUGUUUAAACAAAAUUGGAAACUUUCUGUAAUCAUUUCUCUACUACCCUCAACAAGAAAAGUAUAAAAAUCUGGUCCAAAUGUUUUAGCAAUUCUAACUCUUUUACUCCUUCUAAGUUCUGGGGUUUCAAUUGCAACAUCAUUUUUCUCAUUGGAGUGUUCUUUACUCACAAUAAGUUCUUUGGGUCUAGGAAUUGAUACAAAUCUGUUUUCAUCAAAUAUAGCAUCUUUAGAUUCAAAAACUGUGUUGAUCUCAAUGAAGUCAUUAGAUUCAAUCACGUAAAAUCUGUAUGCUUUACUAUGUUGUGCAUACCCAAUAAAUAUGCACUCAAUUCCUCUUUCACCCAGUUUCUUUCUUUUCGGUUCUGGAACCCUCACAAUAGCUCUACAACCCCAAACUUUUAAAUAAUUUAAAUUGGGCUUUCUUCCCUUGAAUAAUUCAUAAGGAGUUUUAUCAUUCUUUUUUGUUGGGAUUCUAUUUAGUAGAUGGCAAGCUGUUAAUAAAGCUUCGCCCCAAAAUCCAUAACUUAACCCAGAGUUAGAAAGCAUAGCAUUGACCAUUUCCAUUAAUGUUCUAUUUUUUCUUUCUGCAACUCCGUUUUGUUGUGGAGUAUAAGGUGCAGAGGUUUCAUGUAUAAUACCAAUGGACUCAAAAAAUGAAGGAUCAUAAUAUUCUCCUCCUCUGUCUGUUCUUAGGCAUUUGACCAUUUUCUCACAUUUCACCUCAACUUCAGAUUUAUAAAUUCUAAAUUUAUCUAGCGCUUCAUUUUUAGAAUGCAAAAGAUAAACAUAACUAUAUCUAGAAAAAUCAUCAAUAAAUGUAACAAAAUAUUUCUUUCCACCAAUAGAAGGAGAAGCAUGCAAGUCACAAACAUCACUAUGUACCAACUCAAGUAGAUUAGAACAUCUAUCAAUUUUAGGAAAAGACUUUCUAGUAAUUUUAGUGAGCAUGCAAGUAUUACAUUUUUCUAAUUUAUUAUCAAAAUUAGGAAUUAACUCUAACUUAGCCAUAUCUUGUAAUUUUCUAUAAUUAACAUGUCCUAAACGAUUAUGCCAUAAAGAAGAAGAGUCAAUAAUAUAGGCUGAAAUAUUUAUUUUAUUAAUAAGAUUGAGUUUGAACAUGCCCUCAUACAAAUAUCCUUUUCCCACAAAGAUUCCACCCUUCGACAAAAUAAAUUUGUCGGCCUCAAAUACAAGUUUGAACCCAAAUUUGUUAAGAAGACUUCCUGAAAUAAGAUUCUUCCUAACUUCAGGUACAUGAUACACAUCGGUGAGAGUGAGAGUUUUUCCUGAUGUGAACUCGAGUUCCACCUUGCCCUUUCCUUUGAUUUGUGCUGUUGAAGAAUUGCCCAUAUAGAGAACGUUUCCAUCCUCCAAUGCAUCAUAAGUUUUGAAUAAACUUUUAUCCUUGCACACAUGCCUUGUGGAACCCGAAUCAAUCCACCAAGCUCCGUCAUCUUCGAGUAUAUUAGCCUCGGAUAUCAUAGCCACAAAAUUUCUUUUGGAAUCCGGUGCACUUUCCUUUUUGAGGAACCGACAUUCUUUCUUGUAGUGGCCUGGUUUACCACAAUGAAAGCAUGCACCUUUCUUUUUCUUAUUUGUCAUGUUGUGGUUGAUCGGAUGCUUAGCUCUCUUUCGAUUUUCUUUUGUGGGUUGACGGGUUUUACUAUACUCAUCUUCCGUCACAUACACUUUGGCACUCUGAGCAUCUUGCUCCUUUUUGCUAUCUUGCAAACGAUAUUCUUCUUCUAUGCGAAGAUGGUUAGCCAAAUCUUUAAGAGUAAUCUCUUCCUUUCUAUGUUUAAGACUUUUCUUAAAGUCUUUCCAUGAUGGAGGAAGUUUAUCGAUUAUAGAGGCCACAAUUAUAGAUUCAUCCAUAUUCAUAUUAUGUUGAGUAAAUUGAUUGAGAAUAUGUUGAAUUUCAUGUAAUUGAUCUAGAACAGAUCUACUAUCAACCAUUUUAUAGUUAUUAAAUUUGCUAACAAGAAACUUCUUACUUGUGGCAUCCUCGGAUUUGUAUUUUUCUUCAAGGCCUUCCCACAGUUCUUUAGCCGUUUUCACAUUUUGAUAGACGUCGAAAAGCGCAUCCGACAUAGCAUUUAGAAUAUUGCCUCGGCAUAUAUUGUCAUCUUCAUCCCAUUUUUGUCUUGUACGAGUUUGUGCAACAGGUUCAUCAUCGUUUUCUUCUGGUCUUGGAGUAGUGAGGACAUAAGCAACUUUGAGAGUCGACAGAAGGAAAAAUAAUUUCUUCUGCCAGCGUCUGAAGUCCAUGCCAUCAAAUCUUUCUAGUCUCAUAAAGUUUGUUGCCAUCUCUCGUAGAGUAGCAGUCGACAUUUUCGGUUUUAAGCCUUAAGAUUGUUGGAACAGAUUGUGAUAAAGGUAUGAAAUAGAAAGAUUAAAAAGGCUUCAAGGCGUGUAGCAAUGCCACUUUCCUUAAGGCUUAAUCCGUCCCCACCGUUCUAACAAUUUGGUGUGCACCGGGUCAACGAACAACCUCCCAGGAUACAAUGAAGCGUAAACCUCAACUGCGUUUGCACACACGAAGUCGAGCCUUUGAGCACUCACUCGAUUAAGUUGUCAAAAGAAAUAGAAUAUAAAACAAGAAUGGAAUUAUUAUGAAUGAAGACUUCAACUCUUCAACUGUUUUCUGUCUGUCUCCUUCUGCAACCAAUGCUAUGGACUUAUAUAGGCCACGAACGGGUGCUUCAUGAAGUAACUAUUCACGAAAGGGUGUUUCGUGAAGUGACCUUUCGAUUGUGACUUUUCAUUUGAUCAUAACUACCAAAUAGUUAUAUGAAUCAAGUUCAAUGAAUAUAACCAUUGAUUCCAACGGGCAUAUGUACGAAGAGACACACUAUAAAGAUGUGUCUUUUCAUAUCAUAUUCUUUCACUAAAAGUCACAUCCUUUCACUUUAAGAGUCAUACCCUUUGAUUAGAGUUGCAUCCACUCACUAAGGGUUGCAUCCAUUCACUAAGAGUUGCAUCCAUUCACUAAGGAUUGCAUCCUUUCACGAAGAAUCACAUCCAUUCACUAAAAACAAUAAACAAAAUAUAUUAUUUUAAAAUUUUCCUUACACGUAUUAUAUCCGUAUUGAAUUUUUGCUGAAUUUGAAUUAACUAUCUAU
This 3929-nucleotide long non-coding RNA is filed under the name Ananas comosus (pineapple). Its description in RNAcentral is "long non-coding RNA (ACOM_LNC011824)". The record is from RNAcentral. Lineage: Eukaryota; Viridiplantae; Streptophyta; Magnoliopsida; Poales; Bromeliaceae.